UUUUCACGACUUACGGCCGAAAAGCAAAGAACAGCCCUGCCAACCGAGAACGAGUGGAAGGUGGAGCUAUGGAGAAUAUAUUUGCAUAAUUAAGCGUCCGCUCAACAAUUUUGCUUCUGAUUUCGUUUUCCACGGCAGAAACGGGAGAAAGCUCACAAACUCCUACCAGGAGUUUUGAGGAAAUCAGAGGUAAUUCACGGACUCUCUGCCUAUGCCAACACUCCAACCCAAGAGCGCGCACACCAAGUUCCCAGCAUGCAUCCUGUGAAGAGCGUAAAAUGUUCCACUGGAGGGUUAGAAAGAAUACUGUUUUCAUCACUGGUUCCCGCUUGAGGGUUUGCUUUCUGCGGGCCUUUCACAGAGCAACUCUCUACUAAGAUAUCAUGCUAGACCUGCCCCAGCAUCCUCCAUUCUGCACCAGAAAAGGCCAGACAAUUGCAUCUUCAGGAUCAACAGGACCAUCUACUGCCAAUAGCCUCCUUCACCCUGCCACAGAAAUAUCCGAUGCUGUAAGAGGGCCAGCAUUCUCUCCACAGUUACUAUGGCUCUUCUACGAACCUUACAUAAGCAGGAUCCUGUAUCUACUGGGUCCCAAAGAACCUCACAUUUCUACUCUGAAAAACUAGAACUGUGUUUAGAGGGUAUACGCUUGCACCCUGCAGGAACUUUGGUUCCAGCAGUCCCAGAUCAGUUUAUCUCCAUCUUUUCCCAUCUCCUAAAAGGCUUUCCCUGGGGCUCUAGGACUGAAUCAAUGAACUUGGGACUUUAUGGGGCCUAUAAGGAGUCAGCUUCAAGAGUAGAUGUUCAGCCUCUGUUGUGUAAUAGUUUCCUCUGAGAUUCAAAGAUUUCAUUCUGCAGGAAGCUCCUUAAGCAGGAGGGUAAACUCAAAUAGCUUCAGGAAGUCCCUGAAGUGGACCAGAUUCACCAGGCUCCUCUCUGUCAGAGGAAACAACAAAAGCUGAGAAUCUGAACUCAGAUGUGAAAAAGCUAUAAAGAAGACCCUUAAAACCAGAUUCAGUCACUUGAAAAGGACACUCUCAAUCUGCUGACCUGCUUGCUUUCUGUGUAGUAUGUUCCAGGUUCCCAGCUUUUGUGAGCAAUCGCCCACAUUGGGAUGGGCUUUGGUGAUAGAACUCUCUCGGAGUCAUUUCUGCCCCUGUGAGUAGUAACCCCUCAGCCAUACUCCUGUAAGUAAUCCCAAUAAAACUCAUUGGUUCACCCAGGUUGAA
Mesocricetus auratus (golden hamster) is the source of this 1229-nucleotide long non-coding RNA. RefSeq lists it as uncharacterized. The record is from RefSeq and is a predicted model, not a curated record. NCBI's taxonomy places the organism in Eukaryota, Metazoa, Chordata, Mammalia, Rodentia, Cricetidae. The transcript has 3 exons.